ACCCAUAAAUACACUUCGCAGUAAUGCAAGUCGUACGAUGAACCGGUUUCGGCCGGGGAUUAGUGGCGAACGGGUGAGUAACACGUGGGCAAUCUGCCCUGCACUCUGGGAUAAGCCCGGGAAACUGGGUCUAAUACCGGAUACGACACAUGAGGGCAUCCUCGUGUGUGGAAAGUUCCGGCGGUGCAGGAUGAGCCCGCGGCCUAUCAGCUUGUUGGUGGGGUAGUGGCCUACCAAGGCGACGACGGGUAGCCGGCCUGAGAGGGUGACCGGCCACACUGGGACUGAGACACGGCCCAGACUCCUACGGGAGGCAGCAGUGGGGAAUAUUGCACAAUGGGCGAAAGCCUGAUGCAGCGACGCCGCGUGAGGGAUGACGGCCUUCGGGUUGUAAACCUCUUUCAGCAGGGAAGAAGCGAAAGUGACGGUACCUGCAGAAGAAGCACCGGCUAACUACGUGCCAGCAGCCGCGGUAAUACGUAGGGUGCAAGCGUUGUCCGGAAUUAUUGGGCGUAAAGAGCUCGUAGGCGGCCUGUCGCGUCGAUUGUGAAAGCCCAGGGCUUAACCCUGGGUCUGCAGUCGAUACGGGCAGGCUAGAGUUCGGUAGGGGAGAUCGGAAUUCCUGGUGUAGCGGUGAAAUGCGCAGAUAUCAGGAGGAACACCGGUGGCGAAGGCGGAUCUCUGGGCCGAUACUGACGCUGAGGAGCGAAAGCGUGGGGAGCGAACAGGAUUAGAUACCCUGUUAGUUCCACGCCGU
This 757-nucleotide ribosomal RNA is filed under the name Staphylococcus epidermidis. Its description in RNAcentral is "bacterial SSU rRNA". It matches the Rfam family "Bacterial small subunit ribosomal RNA", at positions 22 to 803 of the family's 1533-position model. Lineage: Bacteria; Bacillati; Bacillota; Bacilli; Caryophanales; Staphylococcaceae. The record is from RNAcentral. RNAcentral also lists the same sequence under 1 other name.